GACGAACGCUGGCGGCGUGCCUGAUACAUGCAAGUCGAGCGAAGUUUUUCUGGUGCUUGCACUAGAAAAACUUAGCGGCGAACGGGUGAGUAACACGUAAAGAACCUGCCUCAUAGACUGGGACAACUAUUGGAAACGAUAGCUAAUACCGGAUAACAGUAUUUCUCGCAUGAGAGAUAUUUAAAAGUUGGUUAUGCUAACACUAUGAGAUGGCUUUGCGGUGCAUUAGCUAGUUGGUGGGGUAAAGGCCCACCAAGGCGACGAUGCAUAGCCGACCUGAGAGGGUGAUCGGCCACACUGGGACUGAGACACGGCCCAGACUCCUACGGGAGGCAGCAGUAGGGAAUCUUCCGCAAUGGGCGAAAGCCUGACGGAGCAACGCCGCGUGAGUGAAGAAGGAUUUCGGUUCGUAAAGCUCUGUUGUUAGGGAAGAAUGGAUAUGUAGUAACUAUACAUGUAAGAGACGGUACCUAACCAGAAAGCCACGGCUAACUACGUG
Molecule: ribosomal RNA, 499 nt
Filed under: uncultured bacterium
Lineage: Bacteria
Description: partial 16S ribosomal RNA
Rfam family: Bacterial small subunit ribosomal RNA
Source: RNAcentral